This 256-nucleotide ribosomal RNA is filed under the name Flavobacteriaceae bacterium. Its description in RNAcentral is "partial 23S ribosomal RNA". It matches the Rfam family "Bacterial large subunit ribosomal RNA", at positions 2669 to 2925 of the family's 2925-position model. Lineage: Bacteria; Pseudomonadati; Bacteroidota; Flavobacteriia; Flavobacteriales; Flavobacteriaceae. The record is from RNAcentral.
GAGCUGACUUUAGUACGAGAGGACCGAGUCGGACAAACCUCUAGUGCACCUGUUGUGGCGCCAGCUGCAUCGCAGGGUAGCUAUGUUUGGAUGAGAUAAGCGCUGAAAGCAUAUAAGCGCGAAACUCGCCCUAAGAUGAGAUUUCUUUUAAGGGUCGUUCGAGAUCAGGACGUUGAUAGGCUACAGGUGUAAAGGCAGUAAUGUCAUAGCCGAGUGAUACUAAUUACCCAUAGACCUACUGUAACCGUUUCUUUUU